RNAcentral lists this long non-coding RNA (2385 nucleotides) under Mus musculus (house mouse). Its description in RNAcentral is "predicted gene, 48276". The record is from RNAcentral. Lineage: Eukaryota; Metazoa; Chordata; Mammalia; Rodentia; Muridae.
GGUGUCGGCAAUAAAGGAAGCUCUCCAGAGGCUACACCCUGGGAAAGGCUGAAGACAUUCCGGAAACCCCAAAACCCCCAAAGUGGGUUCUUCGAACACUGGGCCACCCCAUCCUUUGGAUUCCGCGCCUGUCCCACUGGGCUCUCUGUCACCGCACUCUCUGAAGGCAUGUGGCCUUUUUGUGUGUCUGGAAAAUCCCAGAUCACUCUACUUCCGACCUUCCCCGGGGGAUGAACAGACUCCUUCUCCAAUUAUAGAGGCAUCGGGAACUGCCGGGGCCAUGUAAAAACAGCAAGCAGUAGCGCCGCUUGUGUGCCAGGGCUGGAAGAAGAGAUGCUUUUAAAAGAAGGCUAUGAGCUUCAGGGGUUGGUCAUCUGCAGCCAGAGGGGGCGCUGUUGUUCCAUGGAGAACGGAGGCUCUGCCCUUCUUCCCGACCACGCCCAAGACUCCAGAGCCUCCGGGGCUACCUAGGGGCUGACAAAGGCAGGCAAGGCCUUUGUGGGUUUUCAUUCUUUUUCACAGGGUCUGCUCACUUUUUCGGGUGUAUAAGAAGCCUGACCCGCCCCGCCUCCACCCCAUUACAGAGGAGCUGGAAAUAGGGAAGAACCCCUCGGGCAUCCAGCCUGUGCCCUUCUGUCCCCCUUCAGGCUUGACAUUCCUGCCUAGCAGCCUUGUGCCUGUGGGUCUCUCCGCUGCUGCCUACAUGACUCCCUGACCCUGGGUUCCUGGCAAAACCUCUGGAGCUUGGUUUGGAACUUCAGGUCCAGGGGUCACUUGGCCCCAAGUCUCCCAAGGACUGUUCACUAGUCUGCAAGGGAAGAGAGAACUUCGGGUCAUGGAGAGAUGUGGGCUCCCUGCUACUCUGCCCCUUUUGGACACGCCCACAGGAGAAGUUAGGCAUCUAUACUCACACAGGAAAGAUUCUCGGGGUCCUUGGGACGCCACACUUUUCCAGCCCUAAUCUUCCCGUGGCUACACCGUAGGGCAGCUUUCUCUCAGCACUAAGUCCAGGCUGGCUCAGGAGCACUCUCUGUCCAGGAGGGAUUUGUACGAAAGUGACCCGCAGCUUGGCCAAGAUUUGAACCGGGAGUGAAGAGCAAGGAGCUUGGCCAGAGAUAACCUGAGUAGCCUUAACUGGGACCCUGAAGUGAUUCUGGGGUGAGAGGAGAGAGACAGAGAAACACAAAGAGGCAAAGAAAGAGAUGGGGUGAGGCUGGGGGAGAUUGAAGGAACAGCGGGUGCUGUGAGGUGAGAGGGCUGUGUGUGGCACAUGCCAGAGAUGGGGAUUGAUUCUCUGGUAAGUGCGUGUGUUCUCCCUAUCACGGCUCUUUGUCUACACAGAAACGCAGGUGGUGGAAGGGCUGCUGGGUAGGGAUGUAUCCCUGGGCUGAGACCUCCAGAGCACUAGACCCUGCUCCUUCUGUAUAAAGCUCAUGAACUGGCACCGGACCAGCUAGAAAAGGACGAAUACAGCCAGCUGUGUGAAGGGUCUGCCCAAGUUCCUUGGUUAGAACGCCCGUAAGCCACAGCUGACUGCUCUACCUGGGCUACACCCCCCUCCCCCAUCCUGAGGCUGCAUCUGCAGUAUCAUCUACCCAUCCUGGGGAAUAUAGGUUAAGUAAAUCAGGGUCACAGGUCCAGAGUCAGCCAAUGCUAUGUAGCCUGCUGGGGUUAGCAGACUGGAGUGCUGGUGCUGUGUAUUUUCCUGACCACCCUUUAUUCAUCACCUCAAGAUCCGCCAGGCCUGCUGACAGGGCAUGGCUCUGAACCCAACCGGGAGACCUCUAUGACUGUCGCUGUGUGAUACCAUGCAUCUGCUACAUGACAGGCCCCUGCUCUUUGGCUCAGAAGAGCACAUCCUAGAAAGCCCAGCAUGGGAAUCAUGGCUGCCAGUGUGUCUAUUCCUGUGUCCGUCAGGGUAUCCAUCAAUACCCAGGGACACACCAGGCCCUGCCCUGAAGGGCUUAAGCUGUCUUUAUUGUGCAACCACCCUAUAAAGGAAAUAGCUCAGCUUGUGGAGGCUCCAAAGGCCAAGAAAAAAAGCCACAUGUACAGCAUGAAGCCACAGCCCAAAGCCAAUGGCCUGAUGCUCAGGUUGGGGCGGUGGGUGGGCAUGAGAUUACUGCCAGGAAGAACAUGUGUCCACCAUGGUGACAUAUACUGUAGGGCUGGCAUGAGGAGGACAAAGGACACAGUCUCACUGAGUCCUAGGAGUCACUGUCACUUUUCUUUACAGACUUUUAUUAUUAAUGAUGCUGAAAUUUGUAACCAAGUUUUUGUAUUAUAAUGACUAUACCACUCUUCUGGAAUUUGCUCUGGGUAAGGAUGGUUCUGGCUUUAUCUGGAGCCCAGAUGUUAUCAACACACACACAGAGACACACAGAG